RNAcentral lists this transfer RNA (73 nucleotides) under Oreochromis niloticus (Nile tilapia). RNAcentral describes it as "tRNA-Arg (TCT) (tRNA-Arg-TCT-13-1)". It matches the Rfam family "tRNA". From Rfam's summary of the family: Transfer RNA (tRNA) molecules are approximately 80 nucleotides in length. The record is from RNAcentral. Lineage: Eukaryota; Metazoa; Chordata; Actinopteri; Cichliformes; Cichlidae.
GGCUCUGUGGCGCAAUGGACAGCGCAUUGGACUUCUAAUUCAAAGGUUGUGGGUUCGAGUCCCACUAGAGUCA